RNAcentral lists this long non-coding RNA (510 nucleotides) under Struthio camelus australis. RNAcentral's name for it is "lncRNA (ENSSCUG00000003105.1)". Lineage: Eukaryota; Metazoa; Chordata; Aves; Struthioniformes; Struthionidae. The record is from RNAcentral.
UCCUGCUUGUAGAGCGUUUCUCAUUCCCCCGGGUUGAAAUGGCCAAUGGUUUCCCUGCAUAAGGAGCUGCUGUUUCAGAUGAUUUCCCGUGCAUGGGUGGCUGGCAUCAUCUUGAGAGCAAAAGGUCCUGCCUACCCUCUGCAGCUCCUUUGCCGUGUUCAUGGAGAGAUCGAAAGGGAGCGGAGACGCAGGAGGCAGGUGAGGUCCUGCCAUCCUGCCGGUUCUCACCCACCUGAGGAGCACUGCUUGCACCUAGAGGCUAUGAGAUAUAUUUGCCUAAAAUAGGCCUUAUCUUGGUAUUAAUGGCCAAUGAACGCAGAUGCUGCUGUGCUAAGCUAAGGGCGUUUGCUGCAAUAAGAUGGAGAGCAGGGAGGGCUCGGAGGCGUGGAUCUGGGCUGGUGCCAUCAUGGCUCCUCCUCGCCACCAUGCCUGGCGCAACCUAAAAUCAGGUGGCAAGUCCCUGCUUUCCUUAAUCCUCGAGGCGGAAGUGACAGAGGGCUAAACUAGGCU